RNAcentral lists this ribosomal RNA (394 nucleotides) under Aphanogmus sp. RNAcentral's name for it is "partial 16S ribosomal RNA". Lineage: Eukaryota; Metazoa; Arthropoda; Insecta; Hymenoptera; Ceraphronidae. The record is from RNAcentral.
CUGCUCUAUGAUUAAUUUAAAUGGCUGCAGUAUUUUAACUGUACUAAGGUAGCAUAAUAAUUUGAUUAUUGAUUGUAAUCUGGAAUGAAUGGUUUUAUGAAUAUUUAUUUUAUUUAUUUCAUUAUUUUAAUUUAAAUUUUAAGUAAAAAUUCUUAUUUGGUAUAAUUAGACGAUAAGACCCUAUAAAUCUUUAUAAUUUUUUGUUUUUAUAAUUGAAGGAUUAUUUUGUUGGGAUGAUUAGGUGUUUUAUAAACGUGUUUUUUUAUAAAAAUGAAAAUUUUUAAUAAUAUUGAAAAAUAAAUUAAUUAAUGAAUAAGAUACUUUAGGGAUAACAGCAUAAUUAUUUAUUUUAGUUCAAAUAAAUUAAGUAGUUUGUGACCUCGAUGUUGAAUUA